Molecule: ribosomal RNA, 450 nt
Filed under: uncultured bacterium
Lineage: Bacteria
Description: partial 16S ribosomal RNA
Rfam family: Bacterial small subunit ribosomal RNA
Source: RNAcentral
GUGGGGAAUUUUGGACAAUGGGCGAAAGCCUGAUCCAGCCAUGCCGCGUGCAGGAUGAAGGCCUUCGGGUUGUAAACUGCUUUUGUACGGAACGAAAAGACUCCUUCUAAUAAAGGGGGUCCAUGACGGUACCGUAAGAAUAAGCACCGGCUAACUACGUGCCAGCAGACGCGGUAAUACGUAGGGUGCAAGCGUUAAUCGGAAUUAUUGGGCGUAAAGCGUGCGCAGGCGGUUAUAUAAGACAGAUGUGAAAUCCGCGGGCGCAACCUGGGAACUGAAUUUGUGACUGUAUAGCUAGAGUACGGUGGAGGGGGAUGGAAUUCCGCGUGUAGCAGUGAAAUGCGUAGAUAUGCGGAGGAACACCGGUGGCGAAUGCAAUUCCCUGGACCUGUACUGACGCUCAUGCACGAAAGCGUGGGGAGCAAACAGUAUUAGAAACCCCGGUAGUCC